ACUUAGUCACCCACAGUGUCUCCUCUUCUGGAGGGACCUCUGGCCUCUGAAAGGACUCCCUGCUGUGCUGCUGCAGGAGAUAACAGUAAAAAUAAAGUAAUUAACCUCUUCUGUGAAGAACCACAACCAACUUGCCAAGAGCACACAGCUGGAGAUUUCACAGAAGUUGCCAAGAACUGGCUGAAGAAGGCUUGGAAACAGAAGGCUGCAGAGAUGAAGCUUCAAAGUCAAAAUUGCUUACAGAAGUUAAGUUUGAAGGUGAAAAAAGGAAGAUCGCCAGCUUGUUUCUGUAUUUUCUUCCAUUCCUGUCACGAUACCAUCUUCAUCAGAUGAAUCCUCUAUGUUCAAAGCACAAUCAGAGGAAGCAUCUGAUGUAUGAGUAGAAGAAAACAGCUCCUGCUUCACUGGGUAUUUAUACACGUGCU
Molecule: long non-coding RNA, 425 nt
Organism: Alligator mississippiensis (American alligator)
Lineage: Eukaryota; Metazoa; Chordata; Crocodylia; Alligatoridae
Exons: 3
Source: RefSeq, a predicted model, not a curated record